AGUGGAUUCGGAUGAAAACCGGU
RNAcentral lists this non-coding RNA (23 nucleotides) under Cricetulus griseus (Chinese hamster). Lineage: Eukaryota; Metazoa; Chordata; Mammalia; Rodentia; Cricetidae. The record is from RNAcentral.